CAGCGUCGGGUUUCUCUAAAUAUCUCCCGAUGAGCAACCGACAAGAGUUCUGACACUGGGCGGACGGAGAUUGGAUCCCCGCCCGCCCAUAACCCCGCACGGUGUACGCCGUCGAACCCGCCCGCAAGGGCUGAGGAUCGACGGCGUUUUGUUUUGUCCCCCCAAACCCUUCUUUUCGGACGACCCCACCCUCGGGGACGGCCGAAAAAACGUCGCCGCCGGGCUGC
This 227-nucleotide unclassified non-coding RNA is filed under the name plant metagenome. RNAcentral describes it as "partial contains 5.8S ribosomal RNA, internal transcribed spacer 2, and large subunit ribosomal RNA". The record is from RNAcentral.